Molecule: small nucleolar RNA, 90 nt
Filed under: Cebus imitator (Panamanian white-faced capuchin)
Lineage: Eukaryota; Metazoa; Chordata; Mammalia; Primates; Cebidae
Description: U8 small nucleolar RNA (ENSCCAG00000000582.1)
Rfam family: U8 small nucleolar RNA
About the family: U8 is a member of the C/D class of snoRNA which contain the C (UGAUGA) and D (CUGA) box motifs. U8 is the RNA component of a small complex (the U8 snoRNP) which is required for accumulation of mature large subunit ribosomal RNAs, 5.8S and 28S rRNAs. U8 RNA has been identified in human, mouse, rat and Xenopus.
Source: RNAcentral
UCGUCAGGUGGGAUAAUCCUUACCUGUUCCUCCUUUGGAGGACAGAUAAAACACGAUGAUUGGAGAUGCAUGAAAUGUUUAAAAUUUAAU